This 1465-nucleotide unclassified non-coding RNA is filed under the name Bombus terrestris (buff-tailed bumblebee). Its description in RNAcentral is "misc RNA ENSBTSG00005023458.1". Lineage: Eukaryota; Metazoa; Arthropoda; Insecta; Hymenoptera; Apidae. The record is from RNAcentral.
GGUUUUCUUCCUUUAAAAAGUUUCAAGACAACUGGUGAAAUUCCAAAUAUAAAUCACGAUAUAAUGUACUUCGAUGAAACUUCUACCUUCUGACACGGAGCCAGCGAAAUAAACUAUCUUAAGGCUAAACACGUGUACUGUACGAGAGAACGCCAGUACCUAGCAAAUGUACCAUUAGAACACUUUGUGCUCAAGCGAAGAAGAACUCGAGAGGCAAGUUGCCAUGCCCGAAUCAAACUACUAUCGCACAAUAUCGAUCUACACUUGCUACAGAGCACCUGGCGUGGCCUGAGCCUGACCGUUGGCCGUGCAUUCUUGUACCUGGCCGGCGGAUUGAUGUUCCUACGAAGAUCGACUUUCGCGGUAGUCAGCGAGUUCUUCCUCUCUUGAAAGUAGCUGAAUCGAGCCGCUAUCGUCGCCAAUUUGUCGCCAUCCGGGUCCGGUACAGGUUCCGGGGGUUGCACGCCACACGGUAGGCCUCUGAAAAUAACCGUGCACAAUGAAUGAUUGUUAAUGAUCGGUCGAUCAGUCGUUGAAUGUUACCCAGUUUGAAUAGAGAGUAAUUCCGGAGAUUUGUACACGUUACAGCAUUAUAUGCAUACUUGUUUUAUGAAUGAUGUAGGCGUUUAUAAUGGAUGUAUAAAUUAUAUCUGUUUUAAAUGAUCACCGCUGGAAAUUUGUGCAUACACAGUGACACGUAUAAUCGCGGUAAAUACUGUGGUAUACGUGUUAGUUCCGCUACUAUUAAAGGAUUAUGCGACAAUUAGGAGAUUAACUCUCUAAAUACGUAAUGUACGUGCAGAUACGUGAUAAGCGAGUGUUUAAAGUAAAAAUUAAUGUCGCGGACAACUAAUUUGUUUAAGGAAUUUCACAUGUAUUGAUGUAAAACGUGGCAUUGUUAGAACAAUAUUAAGGGAUAUUUCUUAUUUUAAUAUUUGAUUGAGAGAAAACUAAAUUCCUUAAGAAACUUCACGACGCCUGUUGAUCGGUGUGUAUUUACUUAAUAUCAAGCAUGAUAGACAAGUAGCGUCAGUGUAUGCUAAUUAUCUAUUAUUACGAAAGUAUCGAUAUUAUAAAAACGAUGCACUGAAAAUUGGCUACACUGUUGCAAGUCGUAAUAUCCCAACGUUUCUUUCGCUGCCAGGACUCUACUUCCUUCCCGAAGAUUACGAUUUCAUUUUAUUCCUUGAAUCUUUCAUUAGAAGGAUUCAGUAUCGGAUUGGAAGAAGACGAAUCGAUUGGGUUAGUCGGCGAGCUGGGAAUUCGAACGCCACGUUGCUGGAUUAUCUGGGUCAUUGAUAGACUGUAUUUCCUUCCGAGCUUAACAGUUUAAUGUAUCAAGUUGUUUAUGAUAAACUGGAAAACCUACUAUAAAUUGAUAAUUUGUUCUGAUCAACAGAGCGCGAUUAAAAAUUCGAUAUUGUGUAAGGGAUCGAAAGAUAAAUACGAAUGAAACUCUAUUCUA